UGGUGGAGUGAUCUGUCUGGUUAAUUCCGAUAACGAACGAGACCUCAGCCUACUAAAUAGUUGUGUAAAUUCAUUUGAAUUUAUAUCAACUUCUUAGAGGGACCAUCGGUGUUCAGCCGAAGGAAGUGUGAGGCAAUAACA
RNAcentral lists this ribosomal RNA (141 nucleotides) under uncultured eukaryote. RNAcentral describes it as "partial 18S ribosomal RNA". It matches the Rfam family "Eukaryotic small subunit ribosomal RNA", at positions 1299 to 1458 of the family's 1831-position model. The record is from RNAcentral.